CCCCUCCUGGGUUCCAGACACUGGCUUUAUAUAGACGGUCACUUCCACCCUUAGGGGAAGGAGGUCAGGAGGAGGGCAAUUCUAUCGACUGCUUCUCAAUCACCUCCUAGGUGAAUGCAAAGGUAUGCAUGCGCACGUGUGAACCUUUUCAUUAGCAAACCUCCGUGCACGCAAAAACACUCCAAGUUGUGUACGUGAGUGAUUAAAACAAUCGGCUCAGACAAUGCAAGAAAACCACGAGAGAGAACGCCCAGCCGCGGACGCGCUACCAGGACGUCCUUCUCUUUUUUUCCUAAUGAACCUGGGCCAUGCCCCGGAACGUCCUUCCCUUGCUAAGGUAACCUCCGAAGCCUACGUUUUCCUGCAGGAGAAGGAUCGCCCGGUCAGCGACGGCCAGCGUCCCUGGCGGCCCGCGACCUUCCCGCCCCGCCCCCCGGCCCGCCGCGGACAAAGCGGCGCCCCUGCUCCCCGCGCGGCCUGACCAGGCGCUGCACAAAGCGCCGCACUUCCGGCCCGCGCCCGCCCGGAGCCGCCGCCCCCAUGCUUCCCGUACUCACGGUAGCCUGCGCCUCCGGGACCGGCGCGCGCCGGCCCGAGCCGGCACGGCGUGUGGCUCGGCGACGGGCAGUGCCCAGACGACGCUCGGUUGCGGCUGACCGCUAGGCCCGCGCUGCCUCCCGCCCGCCUCGCCGCGGCCCCCGCUACCGCCGACGCUGCGCAGACACCGCAGCCCACGACCUCACUUCCGCCCGCCGCGCGCCAGACGGGGGCGCGCCGGGCACGUGAUGCAGUUGCGCGCGCGCGCCCCCGCCCCCGCCCCCGCCCCCGAGAGGCGUGCGCGAGGUGCCCGGAUGCUGGGACGCUUACCUCGGCUGCGAUCCUCAGCACAGGUUCCUGUUAAAACCCGGUUGGAAACGGAGUCAUGGAACGUAGUCAUGGUCCGUAGUGACUUCGGAAGGAGAUGUACGCCGGUUCGCAUUAUGUUUACUCAAUAAUUCCUUUUUCCGUUUUUUCUUUUAAGCUUUUCUCCUGUUUUGUUGUUUCGUUUUGGAUCAGGAUGGGCUUUAAUUUACAGAUCUGCCUCUAGAGUACUGGCCUUAAAGCGACAGCCACCGUGCACAGUUCUAAGAUUUUAUUUUUAAUGUGCGUGUAAGUGUGUAGCUGUGGGAGGAGGUGUUGCUCACAAGAGUGCUGGCGUGUGAUCCUCUCUAGCUGGAGUCACGGGUGGAGGGGGCGUUGUUCGAGCUUUCCUAUUUGGGGUGAUGCUGGAAACUGCUCUGAGCCAUCUCUGAACUCCCCAUGACCCCUUUUAAAGAUGUAUUCAUCUUGUGUGUGAGUGAGUGUUUCGCCAGCAUGUAUGUAUGUAUGUGCACUGCCAUGUACCUGCUUAACGCCUACAGAGAUCAGAAGAGGGAGUUACAGAUGUUUAUGAACCAUCAUGUGAAUAGAACCCAGAUGCUCUAUAAGAGCAAGCAGCAAACGGGAGGCAGAGGCGGGGGAUCUCUGAGUUAGAGGCCAACCUUAUCUAAGGAUCGAAUAUCCAGAAAGCCAGAGCGAGGCAGAAAAACUGUCUAGGGAAGAAAAAAAACCACUGAGGUGCCUCUGUACUCUCUUUGCCUUUUGAUCUCUCAGCUCCAAGGCCAGUACAAGAUUUUUACUCUGAUAAGCUUGCAUCUGUCAGAGAGCUAGGAAAUACUAAGCACUUAGGGUAAGCUCCAAAUCUCACUGGCUUCACAGAGCCAAAAAAUCAAUGCAAAAUAUACGUACCAGGAAAUGUUUGGGAUUAGAGAAAAGUGAAGACCGGGCUAUUAAACUUCCUACCAGAUAUGAAACCAUAUUUAAAGACUGCAGCCGAUAAGCUCACUAGUGCACAGAUAAUGAACCAUAUUAUAUUAUAAUUCCAUAUUAUAUUAUAAUGGGAUAUAAUAGAAAGUCCAGAAGUAUAUUACAGCAAUUGGGAGUUGAUAUUUGAGAAAGUAUUUCAUAUCACUAGGUGUUAUUAUUUGGAUCUUGAAGUUUCAAAAAAAAAUUCUAAAUGUUGAUGUCUUGGCUGCUAACCUGACAGCUGACCCUGUGUAGGCUAGACAGACUCAGAGAUUUGCCUACCUCUGACCCUUGAGUGCUAGGAUUAAGGAUAUGGACCACUGGGGGUUGGGGAUUUAGCUCAGCGGUAGAGCGCUUGCCUAGCAAGCGCAAGGCCCUGGGUUCAGUCCUCAGCUCCGGAAAAAAAAAAAAAAAAAAGAAAAGGAUAUGGACCACUGAUCGUUAAAUAAAUAGUAUGGGGGGAGCUAAAAUUUAACCAGCGUAAACAGUAUAAAUUGUAUCUAUAACUCAUGUACCAGGAUAGAUUCCAAUUUUUAAAAAAGGCAUAUAUUUUUUAACAGUGGAAACAUAAAAAGAGAAGAGAACAUGGGGAGAUUUCUUUUUAAAUAUGGAGUAAAGGGCUGGAGAGAUGAUGGCUCAGCAGUUAAGAGCACUGACUACUCUUCCAGAGGUCCUAAGUUCAAUUCCCAGCAACCACAUAGUGGCUCACAACCAUCGGUAAUGAGAUCCGAUUCCCUCUUCUGGUGUGUCUGAGGACAGCUACAGUGUACUUAUAUAUAAUAAAUAAAUAAAUCUCUUUAAAAA
Molecule: non-coding RNA, 2628 nt
Organism: Rattus norvegicus (Norway rat)
Lineage: Eukaryota; Metazoa; Chordata; Mammalia; Rodentia; Muridae
Source: RefSeq, a predicted model, not a curated record